This 2446-nucleotide long non-coding RNA is filed under the name Cyanistes caeruleus (blue tit). Its description in RNAcentral is "lncRNA (ENSCCEG00000008097.1)". The record is from RNAcentral. Lineage: Eukaryota; Metazoa; Chordata; Aves; Passeriformes; Paridae.
CCAUGAGGCGAGCGGUGCCCGCCGAGGUGCGCCUGGCGCUCACCCUCAGCCGCCUGGGCUCCCGCACCGAGUACCGGGCGCUGGAGGCCACCUUCGGCGUGUCCCGCAGCUCCGUCUGUAAAAUCCUGCGCGAUGUCUGCGGGGCCGUGGUGGCCAUCCUGGGCCGGGGCGAGGAGGAGGAGGAGGAGGAGGAAGAAGGGGAGGAAGGGCGGAGGCUGCACCUGCCCAGGGACCCCCAAAGCUUCCCGGGGAUUUGGGGGCACGGCCCGGGGGGAGAGGAGAGAGCGAGCCGGGACACAGCAGGAGGAGGAGUGGAGGAGAAAUUCCCGAUCCCGGAGGAUUCCAGAGCGAAAUUCCCGAUCCCGGAGGAUUCCAGCCCGAAAUUCCCGAUCCCGGAGGAUCCCGGCUCCAAAUUCCCGAUCCCGGAGGAUUCCGGCCCGAAAUUCCCGAAUCCAGAGGGUCCCAGCUCCAAAUUCCCGGAUCCAGAAGGUUCCGGAGCGAAAUUCCCAAAUCCAGCGGAUUCCAGCCCAAAAUUCCCGGUCCCGGCGGAUCCCGGCUCCAAAUUCCCAAAUCCAGCGGAUUCCGCCUCAAAAUGCCCGAAUCCAGAGGGUUCUGGAGCGAAAUUCCCAAUCCCAGCAGAUCCCGGCUCCAAAUUCCCAAAUCCAGCGGAUUCCAGCCCGAAAUUCCCAAAUCCGGCGGAUUCCAGCCCAAAAUUCCCAAAUCCGGCGGAUUCCAGCCCAAAAUUCCCAAAUCCAGCGGAUUCCAGCCCGAAAUUCCCAAAUCCGGCGGAUUCCAGCCCGAAAUUCCCGGUCCCGGCGGAUCCCGGCCCCAAUUUCGGGCUCCGAUCCCAAAUCCGGAGAAGGAAAAUCCUGAGAGCGGCGAAUUCCGGCCGGGAAACUCCGGGAAGCUCCGGGGGCGCCCAAAUCCCGCCGGAAAACUCGGGAAUUCCACCCAAAAAACGCAGGAGCCCCGAAACCUCCGAAAUUCCAAAGGAAAACUCCCGAUUUUCACCGGAAAACUCCCGAUUUUUGCCAGAAAACUCCCGAAUUCCAACCAAAAAUUCCCAAAUUCCACCCGAAACUCCCCAAAAUCCACCCGAAAAUUCCCAAACUCCACCCGAAAAUUCCCAAAUUCCACCUGAAAACCCCCAAACUCCACCCGAAAAUUCCCAAAUUCCACCCGAAAACCCCCAAAUUCCACCCGAAAAUUCCCAAAUUCCACCCGAAAACCCCCAAUUUUUACCGGAAAACACCCAAACUCCACCCGAAAAUUCCCAAAUUCCACCCGAAAAUUCCCAAAUUCCACCCAAAACCCCCCAAAAUCCACCCGAAAAUUCCCAAAUUCCACCCGAAAAUUCCCAAACUCCCCCCGAAAACCCCCAAUUUUUACCGGGAACCCCCCAAACUGCCCCGGGAUUCCCGGAAUUCCCGGAUUUCCCGGGCCCGUGGCCGCUGCCCAGCCUGGCGGGGGUCCUGGCGCGGCUGCGGAUCCCGAUCCGCGCCCCCCCCAACCCCCGCAAUCGCGACAGUCGCCGCCGCAAUCGCGACAGUCGCGACAGGGCGGGGCAGGCGCUGACGCUGCAGGCCACGGUGGACGCGCGCGGCUGCCUCUGGAACGUGGAAUUCCAGCGGCCGGGAACGGCGAUCCGCCACUCGGCGCUGUUCCGGCGGCUGCAGCGGCGGCGGGAGAGCAGCGGGGAAAAAAACACUGGGAAAAACACCGGGAAUAACGGGAAAAACACCGGGAAUAACAACGGGAAUAACGGGAAAAACACCGGGAAAAACAAUGGGAAUAACGGGAAAAACACCGGGAAAAACACCGGGAAUUGUCCCGGGAAUAACGGGAAUUGUCCCAGGAAAAACACCGGGAAUGGCCACGGGAAUAACGGGAAUGGGAACGGGAAUCAUCCCGGGAAUUGUCCCGGGAAUUCAGGGGGGAACACCGGGAGUUGUCCCGGGAAUUCCGAUGGGAAUUUGGGGGAUCCCUGUGGGAAUUCGGGGAAUAUCCAUGAAAAGUCGGGGAAUACCGGUGGAAACCCGUUGACUCCCGGUUCCAAUCCCGGUUUAAACCCGGCGAUUCCCGGUGCCAAUCCCGGUUCCAAUCCCGGUUCCAAUCCCGGUUUAAACCCGGCGAUUCCCUGUGCGGUUCCCGGUUCCAAUCCUGGUUCCAAUCCCGGUUUAAACCCGGCGGUUCCCGGUUCCCAUCGCGCUCCCAGCCCGGUUUCCCCGGCCAUCCCCGCGUACUUCCUGGGCUCCCGGCGGGACCCGCUCCUGCCCUGGCUGCUGCGGCCGUUCCGGCCGGGGGAGGCCCGCUGUGACCCGGGUUCGGCCCAGUUUGACCCGGGUUCGGCCCGGUUUGACCCGGGCUCGGCCCGCUGUGACCCGGGCUCGGCCCGGUUUGACCCGGGUUCGGCCCGCUGUGACCAGGGUUCGGCCCGGAUUGACCC